This 1449-nucleotide ribosomal RNA is filed under the name uncultured bacterium. Its description in RNAcentral is "bacterial SSU rRNA". It matches the Rfam family "Bacterial small subunit ribosomal RNA". The record is from RNAcentral.
AGGGUUUGAUCCUGGCUCAGGAUGAACGCUGGCGGCGUGCUUAACACAUGCAAGUCGAACGAACCUUCGGGUUAGUGGCGGACGGGUGAGUAACGCGUGAGAAUCUGCCCUCAGGAGGGGGAUAACGGUUGGAAACGACCGCUAAUACCCCAUAUGCCUACUGGUGAAACGAAUUUCGCCUGAGGAUGAGCUCGCGUCUGAUUAGCUAGUUGGUGUGGUAAUGGCUCACCAAGGCUUCGAUCAGUAGCUGGUCUGAGAGGAUGAUCAGCCACACUGGGACUGAGACACGGCCCAGACUCCUACGGGAGGCAGCAGUGGGGAAUUUUCCGCAAUGGGCGAAAGCCUGACGGAGCAACGCCGCGUGAGGGACGAAGGCCUCUGGGCUGUAAACCUCUUUUCUCAAGGAAGAAGAUAUGACGGUACUUGAGGAAUAAGCCACGGCUAAUUCCGUGCCAGCAGCCGCGGUAAUACGGGAGUGGCAAGCGUUAUCCGGAAUUAUUGGGCGUAAAGCGUCCGCAGGCGGCUUUUCAAGUCUGCUGUUAAAGCGUGGAGCUUAACUCCAUCAUGGCAGUGGAAACUGAAAGGCUUGAGUAUGGUAGGGGCAGAGGGAAUUCCCGGUGUAGCGGUGAAAUGCGUAGAUAUCGGGAAGAACACCAGUGGCGAAGGCGCUCUGCUGGGCCAUUACUGACGCUCAUGGACGAAAGCCAGGGGAGCGAAAGGGAUUAGAUACCCCUGUAGUCCUGGCCGUAAACGAUGAACACUAGGUGUCGGGGGAAUCGACCCCUUCGGUGUCGUAGCUAACGCGUUAAGUGUUCCGCCUGGGGAGUACGCACGCAAGUGUGAAACUCAAAGGAAUUGACGGGGGCCCGCACAAGCGGUGGAGUAUGUGGUUUAAUUCGAUGCAACGCGAAGAACCUUACCAGGGUUUGACAUCCUGCGAACCUCUUAGAAAUUUGAGGGUGCCUUCGGGAAUGCAGUGACAGGUGGUGCAUGGCUGUCGUCAGCUCGUGUCGUGAGAUGUUGGGUUAAGUCCCGCAACGAGCGCAACCCACGUUUUUAGUUGCCAGCAUUUAGUUGGGCACUCUAGAAAGACCGCCGGUGAUAAACCGGAGGAAGGUGUGGAUGACGUCAAGUCAUCAUGCCCCUUACACCCUGGGCUACACACGUACUACAAUGCUACGGACAAAGGGCAGCAAACUCGCGAGAGCUAGCAAAUCCCAUAAACCGUGGCUCAGUUCAGAUCGUAGGCUGCAACUCGCCUACGUGAAGUAGGAAUCGCUAGUAAUCGCAGGUCAGCAUACUGCGGUGAAUACGUUCCCGGGCCUUGUACACACCGCCCGUCACACCAUGGAAGUUGGCCAUGCCCGAAGUCGUUACUCCAACCCUUGUGGAGGAGGACGCCGAAGGUGGGGCUAAUGACUGGGGUGAAGUCAUAACAAGGUAGCCGUA